RNAcentral lists this long non-coding RNA (515 nucleotides) under Equus asinus (donkey). RNAcentral's name for it is "lncRNA (ENSEASG00005038762.1)". Lineage: Eukaryota; Metazoa; Chordata; Mammalia; Perissodactyla; Equidae. The record is from RNAcentral.
GCUAAACAUUGUCUCUUGUGGGAAAUCAUUAAUAUGUUCUUAAACACAUUUUUAUCAAAUAGGACAAGAUCUGAGGCGCUGAAACAAAUUCUAAGUGUAUACAUAACGUCAUCUAACAGUUUUUAAUGACCACGUUCCUGAGGAGCUCGCAGAGUGACAAAUGACUUUUAUACAAACAUUUGGUUCUGGCUUCACAUUUUGCAAGCAGCUUUGGAGGAAAUGUUGAUUCAGGAACGCAGAAGAGCCGGGUGACCCAAAUCAGCUGGGAAUGAGGAAAAUCCUGUUAAAUGACUGGACCAGAGAACAAGAUGUGCCUGAGCAGCUCCAGAUGUGAUCCAAGGAUUAAAUGAGAGGGGAUGUGAAAUUGCUCUGUUACCCUGUCUCCCAAAUGUAAGCUGAACAAGCAAUUCUAAACAAUAGAAACUGUGAUGACAGAAGGCCUGGCGGGAGGCUGAUUGAAAUGCACUGUUCUGAAGCAGAUCUUCACUGCCAUUAAAUAAGAUAUUCAAUCAUUG